This 11046-nucleotide long non-coding RNA is filed under the name Ananas comosus (pineapple). RNAcentral describes it as "long non-coding RNA (ACOM_LNC002657)". Lineage: Eukaryota; Viridiplantae; Streptophyta; Magnoliopsida; Poales; Bromeliaceae. The record is from RNAcentral.
AAUAUGUAGAGGGACCGAAUUCUCGUCCUCUGUAACUCAUCGAGCCGAUUUAACUGGUUCACAUCCUUAACAUUGAAUCCUAGAGCUUUCAGGUUGUUGAGCGCCUCCAACUCUUCGAAUAGCCACGGCGGGCACUUCAAAUCCAAGUCGCAUCCGUGCAAGUCCAGCAUUUGAAGCGCCUCGAGUUCGCGUAUAACACCCGCAGGAAUUAUCUGGACGUUGCUUUUGCGCAGAAUCAAGUACUCGAGGCUAGUCAGAAGUUUAAGCUCCGCAGGCAAUUCCGGGAUUUCAUUGAACGACAAGUUGAGGUAUCGAAGGGCGGUCAGCCGACAUAUAUUUUCCGGGAAACCGUUGAGUCUAUUGUGAGACAAAUCUAGGUAAGCGAGAGCCGCGAGGGAGGGAGAAGCCGCGAGCGAAAUUUCGCUUAGCAGAUUACCUUGCAGAAUCAAGGUUGUAAGUGCGGCAGGGGAGGAACUGCCAGGAGAGUCGUGAAAUGCUUUGAUCCUGUUAUGCAUUAACGACACGCGGUCGGUCUCGCCCCAUACAAUUCCCGUACCUUGCGGCGGCACCUCCGUCAACCCCAGUCCUGCCUUCACAAACCAUUUCUUCUUCCUCUGCCCGCAGUCGCAAGCUAUCCACAGUGCCAUGUCGCGAAUAACGUCGUGCACCCUCACUCCGAAGCCAAGGUCGUCAUUCAAAAGGCAUGCAGAUCGCAGGCUAGCUAUGAGAUCGUAUCCUAUGUUAUACGCGCUCCGCAUGUCGUCGAACCCGUCGAUCACGCCCAACCCCAACAAACAAAGGAUAAGAUCAUUUUUGGCGAUGCAGAAAUCCUCAGGCCACAAGGAACAGCACAACAAACAAUCUCUCAAGGCAUCACUCCGCAGCCUAUCGUAGCUAAACUUUAAGGUGUGGAACAAGCUUUCUUCCUUUGCAUCCGGAUCGACCUCAUCGUGGCGCGCGUCCUGCAGCAGGUCGAUGGCAUGUCCCCAUUCCCUCGAAUCAUCCUUAUCAUACAUGGCUCUUCCGACGGUAAUGAGAGCGAGGGGCAAGCCGCCCAGCUUUCUGGCUAGGUUUCUUGCGAGGGCUUCGACGGCAGGACUAGAGCCGAUCGUGUCUUCGCCGACAGUCUCUCGGAAGAGAAGCCAAGCGUCGUCGCGGUCCAGACAUUCCACUUUGAUGCUGUUCCUCCUGCUUACACCCAUCUGGCCGCAGACUUUCAAAAAUCUCGUUGUCAACACCACCUUUCUUUUAAGCUGCUCGCCUGCGGCCGAAGGCAUCGGAACGCCGACGGCUCCCAGGUCGAGUCGUUCCCACAGAUCGUCCAGCAGCAGGAGAAAAUUCUUUUCGCGCAAAAAGUCUGAGAUGAUUCUGGCCUGGUCCUGCACAUUGUUUAUCGCGGUCAAGCCGAGCGUAUUCACGAUCUCGCUUUGAAUCCGUGCGACGGAGCACGAUCUAGACGCUGUGACGAAGAUCACGACGUCGAAAGAUGUUUGGCGAGCGAACGAGUUGUUGAUGGACUUGAGGAGGUGGGUCUUCCCCACCCCUCCCAUGCCCCAGAUUCCAACCAUCUUCACCGCAUCAUCGUUGAUAAAUUCGAGUGCUUGAUCAAGAUACCGGUUUUCUCUUCCCGCCGCCGACGGGUUGUCAAUCUCCGACUUGUCGUGCCUGUCAGAGUAACUUUCUUAUAAGAUCGAUCGAUCGAUCGAUAAAAUUUCUUUCAGGUAAAAAUAUAUAUAUAUAUAUAUAUAUAUAUAUAUAUAUAUAGUUGGACUGGGCUACUAUUAGUAGCAAAAUUCUAUUGUUGCUAUCAGUUUUUUAGUCUUUGGAUGAACUCUUUUCAUCAUUUCUAACCAUUGGAUUAAAUACUAUAACUCAAUGGAAACCACUCAACCCUAGAAAGAUCACUCAACUCUAACUGACUAAUAUCAUCCUAAUCUUAUAAUUUUUCAUCCAAUGGCUAAAAAUUUGAUAGCAAAAAGAGCGUUUUACUACUAAUAGUAUUUCAGCCUAAUUCUAUAUAUAUAUAUAUAUAAAAUUUGCAUAGAUAGCUUAUAAAAAGAAAUUGCCAACAAAGGUGAGAAAAUAUGCGUGCUAAACAUUGACCAUUUGUUUGCCCAAUACGCAGCUACUAAAGUAUUGUUGAAAUGUCUCCUUCCUAACAAGAGCGUUAUACUUCUGUAUAUCUCAAUUACUUAUUUUUAGGAGAUGAAAUAUUUGAUAUGGAGUAUCUUUCCAAAAAAAAAAAUUAUUGAUUAUAAUUACAAUAUGAUAAAUUCCUUGGCAGGAAAGGAAUGGACUAAUUUUUUAUAAUAAAAAAAUUAAUUUGUACUGGCUGCUGCGUAAGAUUACAAAGCCUUCGGAAAGCGUACAGAAUUCACUAAUUUUUUGGAUGUAGUUUAAUAUGUUUUUUUUAUUUUUUAUUUUUAUUUUUCUGUGGUUUUGUUACCGCAACUCUGUAACUACGUUUAUGUUCUUAUUAAAUUAAACGACAGUAUACUAUUUUUUUUUUCCAAAAAAAAAAAAACAAGUAAUCAAAAAAUGUAUAUAUAUAUAAAUAUAUAAAUAUAUAUACCUCCCGGCCGAAACGUUGACGACCUGCUGGAACAGUACUCCACGGUCGAACUCCCGCCUGGCGUCCGGAAUCAUCUUAGCGGCGGUCUUGCCAGCCGCGUAGGUCGACCAGAAUUCGACAGAGCAGCCUCCGAGACACCGCGUCCGCUCGGCGUACCUUCUGUGGAGCGCCUCCGCUCGCGCUACGAUGCUGUCCGCCCCCUGCAGCCACUCGCUCACUUCGUUCGUCGCAGUGCCGCCGGUUGUUCUGCAGCCGGACCGGAUCCUCUCGUCUACAUCCUUCCUCCUGGCGGCCAGCUCGGCGGCGACAUUCUUGAGCUCGUCCAAAUUGUCCUCCACUUUAAGAAGAUACGUCAGAUGCUCCGUGACGAGGCUCACCAGCGGAGAGAUCGCCGCAUCAACAACCUUACAGAUGCACUCCGCCAUGCAUAUAUCGAUUGCGAGAUAGUAUAGAAUCUAUAGAAUCUCUAGAUAGAUCGAGAUAAGAAUUAAUGCAGCAGUAGAAAUUAAGAAGAGAACGAAGAGACGAGGGGAGAGGGGAGCGAUUGUUCUACUCCACAACUACAUCGGGCUGGGUAAUUAAGCAAAUGGUCUAUCUAAGCUACAAUUAUUUAUUUACGCAACUUGGUACCAUACUAAUAGUAUUAUAUAUGAUAAAUUAAUGUUUAUUCUAUUUUUUUAUUUAUUAUGACAGCAAGCUAGUGAGUGAUGCUUAAUUAAUUUGUGUUCCGGCCGGCUGCACAUGCGUAAGUCCACUACUGUACAAACUGAUAUGCACGCCAUCUGUACCUAAUCUGGACGUGCUACUAUAAUAUUAGCGAUUCCUGUUUUUCCGUUUAUUUGAAUAACAUAUUACAGAUUCGUUUGGAUUAUCUCUUAAUAGUUUUUUUUUUUUGAAAAAAAAGUUAGCACGCUACCCGCUUUAUUCAUUGGAAGGAUGAAUUAGACUACAAGGGUGAGGCAACACAGACCUCGAUCGGGGCAAACAAAAAAAAAAAAAAAAUAUAUAUAUAUAUAUAUAUAAUAUACGGGUAGACAAUACUUGGUCCCAAGAUUUCGUUAGCUGCUUAAUCUUGUGGGCUGCAAGGAUGGCAUCCGGUCGGAUAUUCUUAAGGACCACACCAUUCCUAACCUCCCAAAUAAUCUACCGGUAAGCUAUCAAACCAGAUGCUUACUUGUGGUCUUCGUCAGCUACUUGGUCACAAGACUUCGUCAGCGGCUUAUCUCUUAAUAGUUUAUUAUAGUUUAUUCAUUGUACGUUAAGAAGUCUUUUUUGUUUGGUGGGGGUUCCUAAUUUUUUUAUUUUUCUGCUAUUGGGUUCCUAAACUUUAUAUUUUAUUUUGAUUAGAUCUCAAUUGUCUAAAUUCUCAUUAAGUUAAUUAUUUUUUAAUAAAUUUUAGUUAUAUAAAAGGCAUAAAAUAUGCUAGCUUAUUAAACUCUUAAAGAUAAGCAUAAGCAAAGCAUUCAGAUUUUGAAGUUAAAAGAGUCUCAAAUCAAAUAAACUAAAAGAUCAACGUAUAACAAAACUAAUUUUUUAAAAAUAAAUGGGUAACUAUAUCUAAAUUGAUGAUAGUUAAGAUAAGUUCUACAUAUUUUAUAUGAUAACUAUAUUUUUAAAUUAAUGAUUGAUAAUUGCAUUUAAAAAAAAAAAAAAAAGAUUUGAUGUAAAUAUUCAAAAAGAUUUAAGUUACAAAAUUUGGGAGGAAGAUGGCUUUUGCCAGUCCCAUUCUCCCACUGUCCCUAGUCCCUACCAAUCCAAAACAUAAAAUAAAAGUAAAAAUACCAAUUAGCAUAUAAUCAAAUUAUGCAGAGUUAAAAAAGCAAAAAAACAAAAUCAGUCCUAAAUAAAAUAUUGCUUCUGUUUUUGGACCGCUCGUAGCCACGAUCUAGAACACGGGUCACAAAACGGUAAUAAGGGAACGUAAAAGUAGAGUAACUUAUGCAAUUCAAUUUAUAGAUGUUAUCAUCCUUAUUUUUCACAAACCCUCAAUUUCAACCCAGAUAAAUAAAAGGGAAAAAAAAUUGUAAUGUACACCCUUUACAAACUCGAGCAAUAACAUACUUCAUAAACCAUGAAGGAUUUUCUUUUUCUUUUCUUUUUCUUUACGAGGCCAACGUCGUCGACGCUCAACUAUCAUGCACGCAGGAUAGCACAUCUCUGUAAUCUCUAGAGAUGGUGAAGGAGUCGUAGACUUUUCCGUCGCUGCUCUUCUUGUACUCGAAGAGUAGCGAGGAGUGGUCGAAGGCGGUGAGCUUCACGAAACCGUAGUCCUCGUCUCUGUAGAUGCUCCAGUUCGGAGUGGCGGUGGUGAAGUCCGAUAAGUGGCUGCCGCCGCCGCCCACCACCACGUGGAUCGUCCCGUUCAUAGUGCCCGAGUAGUGUGACUUCUCACUGCUCGCACACUGGUUCUGUUGAGCAUAUACAUACAUCCAUAAGGUUGUUAGAAAGAUGAAACCAUGAAAUGAGAUUAAUAUCAAGCUCUACAAAACUGGCUGUGUUUUAGAUAUAGCGUCUUGCAAAGUUUAAUAUAGCACAAUGUCCUUGAAUGUUAACCUAUUUACGUAUCCUUUUUCUCAAAAAAAAAAACCUAUUUACGUAUCUUUAAGUACAUUGCGUCGUAAGAUAGAAGUAUUUUAACAAAAAACACGCAUAUGGAUUUGAAAUAACCAUCAAAGUGGAACUUAAGUAAUCACACAGAAGUGUGUUAUUGGUUUUUUUUUUUUUUGAGAAAGAGGUAGGCGAGCUACCUGCUUCAUUCAUUGAUAAGUGAACUAGGCAAACAGUGUGGAAGCAGCCAGGGCUUCCGGGGCAAAAGAAAAGCAAAAAGAGGAACAAAACAAGAAAAGAACAAAUCAGCGAAAAUAAAUAGCAAGAAAAAGCUAAAGGAAAACCAAAAAAAAGGAAAAAGGAGAAAGGAUUAAAAGCGGUGGUGCGCGGAGGGUAACGUCAGAGAAUUAGACCAUAGAUUUGUAAGAAGAAAAGCCCGCUCCAGAGCUCGGGUGGCAUUAGGAGACGCUGUUCUGAAAAUGAGAUUGUUUCUUUCCGUCCAGACAACCCACCAAGUAGCCGCCAGGGAGGUUAAGGCCUUGGUUCUUUGAACUGUGCCGGUAAUUGUUGUUGAAGAGGUCCAAAGUUUCCGGACACAGUCGGUAUCGUCGGCGUGUACCCCCGCCUUAAAGAGUAAGAAUCGCGUAAAGAUGCAGUUGGAGAAGAGAUGAUCGCAGGUUUCCAAGGCAAAAGCACAGUAAAUGCAGUGGUCGUCGAUCUGCAUCCCACGAGUAAGCAGUCUGUCAGCGGUGGGUAGUCUCUUACGGAGUAAGAUCCACAAGAAUACUUUGAUUUUGGUCGGGAUUUUUAAGGUCCAUAUAUGAUGGAACACCGUGUCCUUGAUACCAGUGUUGUCAAUGAACGUGUAGAGGGAUUUGACGGAGAAUAAUUGGUUAGGGGCCCACCUCCAACUGGGUUGGUCCGGGCAGUUCGAGGGGCAGGAGCUAAGGAGCAGUUCUUUGAAUUGUGCGAAUUGUGUACGGUUGGUGUUGGGUCGGCGCGUCGCGAAACCUCUGCAGAUAAAGUGCCAUCUCCAUCCGUUAGAGCUCCAACAUUGCGAAACCCUGACCUCCUUAUUCCUAAUGUUAGCGAAGAUGGUUGGGAAUAAGGUGCUUAGCGGGGCUUCUCCAAUCCAGAUAUCUGUCCACAUCCUGAUGGUGGUACCGUCACCUAGGUUGAAAGAUAAUCCGCACUUGAACAAAUGUCUGCAGCGGAGAACGCUUUUCCACCACUGGGAGAACGGGACAAAGGCUGAACCCUCACGCAACGGCCUACGUCUAGUGUAAUAGAGGCAUCUAAUCAAUUUGCACCAGAGUAGGUGUGGCUUAUGAAAGAAGCGCCACCACCAUUUAGAUAGGAGGGCCUAGUUCAUGGACUCCAAAUCUUUGAUCCCUAGCCCGCCAUCGUCCUUGUUUCUGCAUACGGUUCUCCAAUUGACGAGGCAGGCGCCUCCGGAAACAACAGAGCGUCCUCUCCAGAAGAAGGCUCUUCUCAAAGAUUCAAUACGGUGCAGAACCCAACGUGGGGCUUUAAAGGUGGAGAGGUAGAAGAGAGGCAGGCUAGUAAGGACAGAAUUGACCAGGGUCAGUCUUCCUCCUUGUGAGUGGAGUUUAGCUUUCCAACCAUUGAUUCUUGCAUCGAUACGAUUGACUAUCUGAUCCCAGUCUUCCUUUCGAAUCUGCUUGUUGUAGAGAGGGAUGCCCAGGUAUCGAAACGGUAGGCUUCCAGCUUUGCAUCCUAAGAUGGAAGCUAGUCUAACACCUUUACUUGGGUUGGGGCCAAGGUAAUAAAGUUCCGAUUUGUCCUUGUUGAUCCUGAGCCCAGAGACCCAUUCGAACAGUUUCAAGAUAAAUAGAAGGUUACGUAUAAUGCGUUUCGUGGGCUCGCAAAAGAAAAUAGUGUCGUCAGCGUAUUGGAUGAGUGUGGUCUCGCAUUCCGGUGUCGGCCCGAUGCCGACAAUUUGGUUGUUCCCCCUAGCUACUUCCGUCAUCCUAGCUAGGCAGUCAACCACUAGUAGAAAAAGGUAGGGGGAGAGGGGGUCCCCCUGCCGAAGGCCCUUUCUAGCUUUAAGCCAAGGGGUAGGUGAAUUGUUUACGAGGAUGGCCAAUUUAGAAGUGUGUUAUUGUAAAGUUAGUGAAUCAAUGCUUUUGGUGCUUUGAUUACACCUUAUCAUUCCUAUUUGAUUAACAUACCCUGAUUACGUGUUAUGCCCGGAAACUCUUCUCUUCCUAUUAGUAAUUUUCGUGCUUUAAUUUCACCGCUUUCUUUCUUUUUCUCACGUUUUUCUAUAUUUCUACAGGUAAAAGCAGAGAAUGGUUCACCGCUUUUAUUCUUUUUCUACUCCUAGGGCUUGUUUGGUUCAUCCAUUUUGGAUAUGGAAUGGAAAUCAGUUUGAUCAAAUCCGAUUAAUUUUGUUUGGUUCGUAGGAAUCUAUUUGGAAUUCCUAUUCCGAACUGAAAUAGAAAUGCCCCAUUAGCCUUCAACUUGAUUCCGAUUUUCUAGCCCGGAAUGUGAUUUCAUUCCAGCAGCCCACUAAAUUCUCGAGACCCAUGUGACCAUCUCACUCUCCUUCUCUUCACCCCUCUCUCAUCAAAAAAAAAAAGAAAAGAGAACCUAUCAUCUCUCAAAACUUUAUCCCUAACCCACAUGAAUAAAAGUUUUUAAAAAUAAAUUUGAUACUUUUUUUGAAAAAUUUAUUAGAGAAUAGUAUUAUAUUUUUCAUAAAUUUUAAAUAAUAUAAACUUAUAUUUGAGAGUAAAAUUAGUAUUAUAGUAUUCAAUAAUUUUUUUAGUUUAUACGAACCAAACAAUGAAAUGUGAAUAACCGAUUCCAAUUUCCAAUCUACAAAUGAACCAAACGUCUUGGGGGAGUGAGCCAAUUCAAUUACCAUUUCAAUUUAUUUUCAUUCCAUUAUUCAUUCCAAUUCCACCCUUGAACCAAACAAACCCUUAAUGAGAAGUUAUAAAUACGGUGAAUCAUUCAUCACAUUUAGAAAUCUAUUUUUAUAAUUAUUUUUUAAAAAAAUUAUUUUUAUAAUUCUAAAAAUUGAUAGGAUUAUUUAUAAAAAAAAAAAUUCAAUGUAGGUUCAGUACCUUGGUAGGAACCAACUUGUUUCAACUCACUCCGAUUAAAGCGUGAAUUAGUCUUGAGCCUGAAUUUUGCAUCAGGUAAAUCGCAAAACCGUUGCCUUGGACUAGCAUUUCUGACAAUGAUCGAAUGCUCCUUUAUCCCAAUUCAUUUUGGCCCCCAACCAUUUAACGUUUGCAAUCUAGUCCCUAAAGUUUAGUAUUUGUUUCAAGUCUCUACCACUUAAAAGCUUGUUAUAUUUGACCACUACAACAGAAUUAGGUUAUAGCGACACAUGUUUGGGACACUUUUGAGUAAGUGUCCCAUUUAUGCUAAAACUUAAAAACACAUUACUGAUGCCUAAAUAUAAAGCCCAAUCCAACCAAAAAUAAAAGAUUACUCUACUCAACCCACCACACCCAGUCUAUUUGGCCUGAUUACAAACAGAAAAGAAAAAAAAAAAAUCAAUUACCAUCUUUUCUUCUCUCUUCACUUAAUCCACUGAAAUUCUAGAUGAAGAGCCUUUACUGUCGUCCUCCUCCGCCACCGCAACCAACGAGAUAGAGUUUCGGCGAUUAGUAAAUGCUUAAAUAAGUGUUGGUAAAUUAGUAGCACUCUUUUAGGUUAUAGCGACACUCUUUAACUGUCACUAUAUACCUAGCGACCCCACAUAUAGCAACACUUUUUAAAAGUGUCGGUAAUUUUAGCUAGCAGCAUUUUUUUGACAUGUACCUAUAUUUAAAAGUGUCGCUAUAUACCAUUUUUGUUGUACAUGGGCAAGGUUUGGUGCCGACGUGACGAACUCUAUUUAGUGCUUUUUAGUGUUGAUUUGAGUAUUUAUUAGAGUUAACAUACGAUUUAUUUAGAAUAUUUUAAUUGUUUUUCUCUCUAAAGAAGUUGAAGGUUGUUGGACCUCUUAAUCUGUCGCAGCACCCUGUUUGUCCCACCGGUGGAGAAAAGAAAGGGGUUGAUGUCAUUUGUUUCCUCCCGUCCACCCUUAAUUACGAAGAAGCUCUCCAAAAGUUUUUAAUUUUAAAACACUCCUUUAAUUAAUAGAAAUUAUUAGAAAUACCCAUAUUGCUAACAUUAUUGUAAAAAAUGUGACUACAUAGUUAUUUUACCCCGGAUUGAGGUAGGCUACUAUGAAUAGUAUGUGAAUAGUAUUUAGCACUAAGGGGUGCUAGACUAUUAUGAAAGGACCGUUUGGUUGCAUGUAGUUGUAACUGUAUGCAAAUACAAAUUCGAUAUUUGGUCUGAUGUAUUUAACUUUAACUGCUGCAGUUGAAACUACAGAAGGAUGCCCAAUUGUAGCAGUUCGAACUACGCCCAAAUUGGUCAUAGUUUCAACUGUAACAGUCGGAGAGAAUAGUUUUACAUAAAAGAUAUGCUUAUCUGCUCAAUUAUUUUUUAGACAAAAAUUAUUAUUUUUUUUUACAUUGGAGGUAAUUUCAGCAUUAUAUAUAUAAAAUAAUAAAAUUUUAAAAAUUAUUUUUCAACUACAUGUAACUAAAUAAAUUAUUUAUACUUGCAAUACUUUCUACUAUAUCCAACUAAACAUGAUAUAUAUAGUUAUAACUAUUGUGUUUUCAACUGCAUAUAUUUUUAACAACUACAUUACAUUUAUAAUUAUAUCUGACGAAACAGCACAAUAGUAUGUGAAUAGUAUUUAGCACCAAGGGGUUAACUUAGGCAUUUAUUAGUGGUUGAAAUGAAUGCUAAUAAACGAGUUUAACUAAUUUUGGCUACUCGACUGGUUUGGGUCAAAUAAAUUAUUAGAGCCAGUCAAAAAAAUUAUUAGAGAGUUAGUGAGCUGGAUCGUUACACAAAUAAAGUCAUUAAUUGGAUUACAUGAAGACAAUUCAUACACUUGCAUUAAUUUUCAACUCACACCAACAAUAAUUGAGAAAAAACACGCAAGUAGAUGUGGCACAGGAGGAUCACUAAAACGAAACACACAACUAGCCCAGUAGAUCGGAGAAACUACUAUCUUAAAAGAAAGAAAGGUUUAAGGGAAGAUCUGUGGACGUCGUCCUCCCAUUCUAUUCCUUCCCACCAUCUUUUGUCGCCUCUGAUAAACUUCAAGUUUUUGGGGAUGGUAUCGGCGCGGAAAGGCAGCUUCGUAAGCUUCCGACACAUUCUAACCUCAAAUUGUUCCAAACAUGGAAAGGUGUAUGCAGGAUCACACACACAUUGCAGCGCCGGAAGGUCGGCCAGACUUAUCCUUUUGAGGGAAGGGAAGGUAGGCGCCGCCGCGACUUCUCCUUUACCGUCAUCGUUCUGUGUACUAGAAAUGAGCUGCAUCACGCUUGUGCACGUGCGCACGGCUAGUACGCGAAGGCACGGGAGAUGCACGAUCCAAGAAACAUCCUUCAUGCUGUAGCAAAAACUGAAAUCCAAAAUACAGAGCCUCGGGAAAACCUCCCUGGCUACCAAUCGGUCCAACACGAUGUUCAAUCUCGGCGUCGCGUGGAAGGAUAGCUUCUCCAGAUUGUGGAAACACGGGUUGCGAUUUGAAUGGCCGUCGUCGAAUACUAUCUCCUCUAUAGUGGUGCUGCCGGCAAUCUCCAUAUCGAUCAAGCUGUUUUGUAUUCGAGAGCUGCCGAGAGGAGUGGCCAGCAAGGGGAGAGUCAUUUGUUCCAAGUGAAAUAUGUAGAGGGACCGAAUUCGCGUCCUCCGUAACUCAUCGAGCCGAUUCAACUGGUUCGCAUCCUUAACAUUGAAUCCUAGAGCCUUCAGGUUAUUGAGCGUCUCCAACUCUUCGAAUAGCGACGGCGGGUACUUCAAAUCCACGCUGGAGUGGCAUCCGCGCAAGUCCAGCAUCUGAAGCGCCUCGAGUUCGCGUAUAACACCUGCAGGAAUUA